UACGUAGGGGGCAAGCGUUGUCCGGAUUUAUUGGGCGUAAAGAGCGUGUAGGCGGCUAGGUAGGUCCGUUGUGAAAACUCGAGGCUCAACCUCGAGACGUCGAUGGAAACCAUCUAGCUAGAGUCCGGAAGAGGAGAGUGGAAUUCCUGGUGUAGCGGUGAAAUGCGCAGAUAUCAGGAAGAACACCCGUGGCGAAGGCGGCUCUCUGGUACGUGACUGACGCUGAGACGCGAAAGCGUGGGGGAGC
This 247-nucleotide ribosomal RNA is filed under the name uncultured bacterium. RNAcentral's name for it is "partial 16S ribosomal RNA". It matches the Rfam family "Bacterial small subunit ribosomal RNA", at positions 524 to 769 of the family's 1533-position model. The record is from RNAcentral.